This 254-nucleotide long non-coding RNA is filed under the name Eucalyptus grandis. Its description in RNAcentral is "long non-coding RNA (EGRA_LNC007108)". The record is from RNAcentral. Lineage: Eukaryota; Viridiplantae; Streptophyta; Magnoliopsida; Myrtales; Myrtaceae.
AACAAAAAGUAAGGCGAUGCAGGCUGGAGCUCGCGCGAACCGGACGGCCACGAGCUCUGGCCUGGUGUAUCCGAGAAAGAGAGCACACACAAAGGCCGAGGGGACUUACCGGGUUCGAGUGGGGCGCUGUGGCGGAUGGCGACUAGCGGGCUGGCCUCCGGCAACGAUGAGCGAUUCAGGAAACGACCAGCAACGAAGAGCAGCAACGUCACUUGUGUAGCAACGAAGAGCAGCCAGAAUCGUCGCUAAUGGAG